This 96-nucleotide non-coding RNA is filed under the name Halomicronema hongdechloris. RNAcentral's name for it is "TPP sequence". It matches the Rfam family "TPP riboswitch aptamer (THI element)". From Rfam's summary of the family: Vitamin B(1) in its active form thiamin pyrophosphate (TPP) is an essential coenzyme that is synthesised by coupling of pyrimidine and thiazole moieties in bacteria. The record is from RNAcentral. RNAcentral also lists the same sequence under 1 other name. Lineage: Bacteria; Bacillati; Cyanobacteriota; Cyanophyceae; Nodosilineales; Nodosilineaceae.
CAGACAAGCUAGGGGUGUCCGAAUUCUCGGGCUGAGAUCAUACCCUGAGAACCUGACCUGGGUCAUACCAGCGGAGGGAAGCGUUGAUUGAGGUUC